This 805-nucleotide ribosomal RNA is filed under the name uncultured bacterium. Its description in RNAcentral is "bacterial SSU rRNA". It matches the Rfam family "Bacterial small subunit ribosomal RNA", at positions 8 to 804 of the family's 1533-position model. The record is from RNAcentral.
AGAGUUUGAUCAUGGCUCAGGAUGAACGCUGGCGGCGUGCCUAAUACAUGCAAGUCGAACGAGGUAGUAGCAAUACUACCUAGUGGCGAACGGGUGAGUAACACGUAGGUAACCUGCCCUUAAGCUUGGGAUACCCAGAGGAAACUUUGGCUAAUACCGGAUAAUAUCAGAGAAGGCAUCUUCUUUGAUUAAAAGGCCCUGCAAGGGGUCACUUAAGGAUGGACCUGCGGCGCAUUAGCUAGUUGGUGAGAUAACAGCCCACCAAGGCGAGGAUGCGUAGCCGAACUGAGAGGUUGAUCGGCCACACUGGAACUGAGACACGGUCCAGACUCCUACGGGAGGCAGCAGUAAGGAGUUUUCGGCAAUGGGGGAAACCCUGACCGAGCAACGCCGCGUGAGUGAUGAAGGUCCUUUGGAUUGUAAAGCUCUGUUGUAAGCCAUGAAUGGUAGCUAUAGGAAAUGAUAGUUACUUGACGACAGCUUACCAGAAAGCCACGGCUAACUACGUGCCAGCAGCCGCGGUAAUACGUAGGUGGCAAGCGUUAUCCGGAAUUAUUGGGCGUUAAGAGCGAGCAGGCGGCUGAAUAAGUCUGAAGUCAAAUCGUGGGGCUCAACCCCAUUUCGCUUUGGAAACUGUUUGGCUAGAGUACGGCAGAAGUGAAGGGAACUCCAUGUGUAGCGGUGAAAUGCGUAGAUAUAUGGAAGAACACCAGUGGCGAAGGCGCUUCACUAGGCCGAAACUGACGCUCAGUCACGAAAGCGUGGGUAGCAAAUAGGAUUAGAUACCCUAGUAGUCCACGCCGUA